GACAUAUUUGCAUAUCUAAAUUGCCUAUAGCUUUUCCCAUAACGCUCCGCAGAGCUCUUGUUCAAAUGUAUUUACUGAAUAUUGUAACAUUGUACUCACUUCUCUCCAGAUGCCCAUGUAUACACGCCAGAACCGUGCAUUUUAUUAAACUUCCAGCAUCCCUCAUAUAGGUCGCCAUUAGCGAACAUAAACUCACCAAAACCAUGUUUUUGUCCUAGGCAGUUCUUUUCACCAUGAUAGCGAGAGACCAUUGCCGUUUCACCGUCAAGACUAUCGUAUGACAUACAUGGACAUAAUAUUUGUAGUAUAGCAGCCAUAUUAUGAAACGCUAAUUUAUAUUUAUUGACACGACUAUUUUAUGAACCGAUUGUUGUGUCCCAGCAUUGCACAAAGGGCUAGUACUUUUCGUUCAGGUUCUCCGAACAAGAACACCCUAUUCUUAGGGUGUCUAAUCCACAUCAAUUGUGCGCGAUAAUAUAUCCCACGUCUUUCAGUUGAAAUUACCUAAAAUGUUGUUAUGUUUAUCCUUGUAAUCUGGACAUAUGCCAAGACGUAUUGGCAAUGGACCGUACUGACAAAAUUAAAAAAUAAUGUCUGGUAUGAUUUUCGUUUAUGCAGUUAUUUAGACUUUAAGAUUCCAAUUCCCUGUCGAGAAAAAUGAAUUUGGCCACUGGUAGAUCGUCUAAUCUACAUAAAUGUCUCCAUUUUUCUGUGUAUAGUAAUAGUUUGUAUUCAAAUUCAAGGAAGCGGAAGUAUUUUUCAUGUGAUAUUUGAAUGAUAUGAGGCAGCGUCAAAAGAUCAAAUAUAAUUAAUUAGACAGAAUUAUUUCACAA
This is a non-coding RNA of Paramuricea clavata, 833 nucleotides long. The record is from the annotation of a GenBank genome assembly. NCBI's taxonomy places the organism in Eukaryota, Metazoa, Cnidaria, Anthozoa, Malacalcyonacea, Plexauridae.